CCAAUUAAACAACCUGACCUACCACUGAAAAGCCUUAAGACACACAAACCACACGCAUGCCUCAACACACACAGCCCUAUGACAACUGUGACAGGGAGUGAGUUCUCUCGAUCAACGAUGACACUUCCGUUUGUCUCCGAGCUCCUCCUUUAUUUACACCCGUUACAUGUGCCUCUGGUGUGUGUGUCUUGUUUUCUCCCUCUGUCUCUCUCUCUCUCUCUCUCUCUCUGUCCCUCGUUCUGCCCUCCUCCCUGUCUGUUGCACACCUGAGCGUAAUCAGUACUCAGGUAGAGUGGGGGAGGUGAUAAGAAGGCAGAGAGUGAAGGGACAGAGGCACAUGGAGAGCACACCAGCAGCACACUAGUGAGGAGUUUCCUCCUCACCUUUUUUCUCCACAAGCAGGGUCGCGGGGACUGGAGCAGAUACCAGCUGACAUUUGGGGGGAACCAGGCUACACCCCCGGCAGGUCGUCAGUCAAUCACUGGGCUGACACAGAGAGACAACCAUGCUCACAUUCACACCUAUUGGCAAUUUAGAGUCAACAAUUAACCUAACCUUUUUAGACUGAGUGGAGGCCAGAGACCGGGGAGGACAGGCCUCUUGCUGUGAGGCAACAGUGCUAACCACUGCCGUUUUGUAAUGUUAUUUUUUUAUUCUUUGAUAAAAUAGUUCCUUAUUUAAAUUUUUAAAUGUUGCCACUUUAGACUAUUAUGGGCAAAGUUGUAUCCAAUGUUGUGUUUAGACAAAGCAUAUUAAGGUCUAAAUACUAAUCAAUUACGCACCCCAUAUUGACAAUGCUAUCACUACUGGAAGGAGCCCUAAUAUUACGUCUUACCACUCAACAUACAGCACAAAGUCAGAGAAAGGGGAAGGUGUGUGCAUCUCAACAUGAAUACAGAGAUCAUGAGAGAAAUCUGAAACCUUUCGAACAGAUGACAAAACGAGAAAAAAAAAAACAGAACACGUACUUACUAUUCUUUCUUUGCUUGAACAUCUGGCUUUUGUCUGAAAUAAAUAAAAGAGCAAGAUGA
This is a long non-coding RNA of Sander lucioperca (pikeperch), 1031 nucleotides long. RefSeq lists it as uncharacterized. Lineage: Eukaryota; Metazoa; Chordata; Actinopteri; Perciformes; Percidae. The record is from RefSeq and is a predicted model, not a curated record. The transcript has 2 exons.